AAUACUUUUUGUUGAUAAUUUUACUCAAAAUUUGAUUGGUGGUGAACACAUUUAGAAAUUACUAACUGCGAGUGUUUUUGUCAGGUUUACAGUGUUAAGUUCGUGAGGUGUAGAGAGGCAACGUUAGCCUACAGAAGAGUGAAAGUUUCUAAUGCGGGCUCGAUUUCCUGAAAUAAGAUCCUCUCGGCUCUAUUCCCGCCGAGGCCUGGUUUUACUUCGAGUCUGAAGCAGACACAUUUGGGCGGUUUUCUACUCCGAGGAGAGAAUUCAUCAAAUGAAUUGGCCCAGACGUCUGCAGUGUGCAGUGAAGGAAGCUCCUCUCAUAAGAUUGCAGACUGGGAGCCUGAUGACACUGUGUGAGUGAGGGAAGCCCUUCAAGAAAGGAGCAGAAUGAUGAAGAUGAAGCCAGAAUUGAAGCCAAGUUCCUGGCUUUUCCCAAGACCUUCAAGGACACGAUUGACCUCGGAAUCAGCUGUAAAGGAGGACUAAACCGAUGUUUAAGAAUGGGACAGUGAUAUUGCAUCAAUUUGUCUCCUUCAUUUGAUUCCACCAUCGCCACAAGGCUGCAAGGGACCUGGAGAAAUGUCCUCCUAUCAAGCUGAAAAAUAUCUUCAAAAAGGCACUAACCAGAAGAACACCUUGUAGAGACCACACAGCCGUACCUGCUCGCUGAUGGGACAACGAGGAACAGCAUUCAUGGAUGCUACACAACUGUCGACAAGUAUCUUGCUGCAGUCUUGUUCAAAUCUACCUGUCAUAUUUGUUAAUGUCUAGCACAAACCAGUUACUUAAUGACAUCAGCCAACAGGAAGUGACAUCAUUAUGGAGGGAAAACAGCAACACAUCAUCUGUAACAUCAUCAUCCACAAACAGAAGCCUGGCAGACAUUUGAUUGUGGAGCAACCUGGAAAAUCCAAGCUGUUAAUCAAAGUUUGUCGAAUAGAGAUGGCAGUAGAUCUUCAUAAACACGCUGACAGCUGAAUCGCUCAUCUCAUCUGCUUGAUAUUCAGUGAUCCCGAGACAUACUAAAGUCACGCCAAAUCAACACGUCUGAUGGCUCAAUCAUCGUGAUACUGUGAUACAGUUACACCAGCUGAGAGAUCAUUCAGACCUCAAAACACAUUCUCACUGCAGUGCAGUGCUGUAAACAGAUUGGCUUUUUGGCGUGAAGAAUGAAGAUGGGGAAAACCUUGGUUAAACAUCUGGGGCAGUGAAUGAAAGGUUGUAGGUUUGAAUCCAUAAGGGCUGCUCAAGGUGUAAAAAACACUUAACCUCCUCAAGGGUCAUUGUCUCUGUAGUAAGUGCACUGUAACUCACUGUUUAAAGAAAAAUACAUCAGCUAAACGGUACAGUUGUGUGUGUUGAAGUACUGCAGUGGUGGAGGAAGCAGGUAAGU
This is a long non-coding RNA of Onychostoma macrolepis, 1396 nucleotides long. RefSeq lists it as uncharacterized. The transcript is spliced from 9 exons. The record is from RefSeq and is a predicted model, not a curated record. NCBI's taxonomy places the organism in Eukaryota, Metazoa, Chordata, Actinopteri, Cypriniformes, Cyprinidae.